AUUGAACGCUGGCGGCAGGCCUAACACAUGCAAGUCGAGCGGAUGAAGGGAGCUUGCUCCUGGAUUCAGCGGCGGACGGGUGAGUAAUGCCUAGGAAUCUGCCUGGUAGUGGGGGAUAACGUCCGGAAACGGGCGCUAAUACCGCAUACGUCCUGAGGGAGAAAGUGGGGGAUCUUCGGACCUCACGCUAUCAGAUGAGCCUAGGUCGGAUUAGCUAGUUGGUGUGGUAAAGGCCUACCAAGGCGACGAUCCGUAACUGGUCUGAGAGGAUGAUUAGUCACACUGGAAGUGAGACACGGUCCAGACUCCUACGGGAGGCAGCAGUGGGGAAUAUUGGACAAUGGGCGAAAGCCUGAUCCAGCCAUGCCGCGUGUGUGAAGAAGGUCUUCGGAUUGUAAAGCACUUUAAGUUGGGAGGAAGGGCAGUAAGUUAAUACCUUGCUGUUUUGACGUUACCAACAGAAUAAGCACCGGCUAACUUCGUG
RNAcentral lists this ribosomal RNA (484 nucleotides) under uncultured bacterium. RNAcentral's name for it is "partial 16S ribosomal RNA". It matches the Rfam family "Bacterial small subunit ribosomal RNA", at positions 30 to 507 of the family's 1533-position model. The record is from RNAcentral.